AUACGUAGGUGACAAGCGUUAUCCGGAUUUACUGGGCGUAAAGGGCGUGUAGGCGGUCUUGCAAGUCAGAAGUGAAAUUCCUGAGCUCAACUCGGGCGCUGCUUCUGAAACUGCAGGACUUGAGUGCUGGAGGGGAUAGCGGAAUUCCUAGUGGAGCGGUAAAAUGCGCAGAUAUUAGGAAGAACACCGGUGGCGAAGGCGGAUAUCUGGACAGUAACUGACGCUGAGGCGCGAAAGCGUGGGGAGCAAACAGGAUUAGUUACCCUGGUAGUCCACGCUGUAAACGAUGAAUACUAGGUGUAGGGGGUAUCGACUCCCUCUGUGCCGCAGUUAACACAAUAAGUAUUCCGCCUGGGGAGUACGGCCGCAAGGUUGAAACUCAAAUGAAUUGGCGGGG
This 397-nucleotide ribosomal RNA is filed under the name uncultured bacterium. Its description in RNAcentral is "partial 16S ribosomal RNA". It matches the Rfam family "Bacterial small subunit ribosomal RNA", at positions 523 to 918 of the family's 1533-position model. The record is from RNAcentral.